This 660-nucleotide long non-coding RNA is filed under the name Anser brachyrhynchus (Pink-footed goose). RNAcentral describes it as "lncRNA (ENSABRG00000001726.1)". The record is from RNAcentral. Lineage: Eukaryota; Metazoa; Chordata; Aves; Anseriformes; Anatidae.
CUGGGAAUAAUGUUAUCGCUCUGGGAUGCAAAAGCCAUCAUUCGAGGUUUGCGCUAGAUUAUCGUUUACAACCUGCUAAUCUAAUGUGUGAUUUUGAUGGUGGGCUGCAGGUUUUGGCUGCCUUGUGAAGCUGGAAUCUGGGACCUGCCUUGUUCACUCAAGCCCCAGCUGUCCCCAAGGUCCCAUCCCAGGGAAGAAGGCACUAUUCAGGCAAACCAGGGCAGAUCUGGGGUCUAUCCUCUCCCUUCUGAGACAACCCCAGUGGAGGUCUGCGUGAUGCGAGAUGUCUGAGAGCAGAUGAACUGCUUGCGUGACUGGUGUCCAAGGAGCUGCUUACCUACACCUGUCUGAAGGGUUAAUGCUUAUCCACUGAGCUCAGACUUCUGGUCCAGGUGCAGGAGACCACUACAUGAGUUGAGGUGCAGGUUUGCAAGAGGGAAGAGGUAGGAAGGCAAGCAACAAAACUUGAGAGCAAGCUCCUGUAGAAACGUUAGCAAAGGCAGAUAUCCUGGCCCAUGCAAGCUGCGGGCCAUGCUUUAUCCAACACACAAACCUGACUGUGCCUCUGUUGAUUUUGCAGGAUGAGCUUUUUAUUUGUAGUUAUCCCUUGAUUUUUUUUUUCCAAAUAAAGACAAACUGGCAGAUUGAGUUUAUUAGAAG